CCUCCUGCUCAGAGGCUGGCACAGCCAGCGAUGAGUUGUGCCCACAGGAGGGAAAUGCCACCAGGAAACCUGGCGUCUCCUUCCCUCACCCCCUCGAGCAGGGCUCCCUGCUCCUGCCCGGGAUGGAAACCACCCCCUCGUCCUGGUGGCCCCUGGAGGAGGUACUGUCCUUACUUCUUGCUGUCUUUCUUGCUUUGGGGCCGCUGAAUUAUUCCCUUGAAGAAAAGUGCUCAGUUUCUGCCCAGACAGACCACUGAGGACCAGAUGGGUACUGAUGCCAUUGCACUGGGGCAUUUUACCAUCCACUUUUUGCUUUGCAGUGACACCGGGCGAUAAGGUAGUACAUCUCCGAUGGACAGAGUCCUACAGUAAUGCACUCAAACUGCAUUUGUAUUUCUACUUGCUUGUUGACAUGAAUCUUGCACUAGGAGCCUAAUCAUUGUAAGUUAUGGGCUGGGGUGCUUGAGGUAGAAACUGAAAUGGAAGCCAACUUUGCAGGCACCAGAAGAAGUAAAUUAGAAUCAACUUGAUGUGACCUACUUUAAUUUGCACCUUCCUCACAUCCGUACAGCACUCUUCCAAACCUGCAGAGUGUCAGCCCCGUGAGUUUAGGCUCUUGCUGUAUAUUACAUCCGUUGAUGAAUAAAAUUCUUGGAACUUGUAAUGUGAGGAAAUUAGGGGAAGGUUGCACUUCAUUAAUGUACGUUCCUUUGGGAUACACAAGAUCCUUCUCCUGGACUUCUGAGUAACAUCCAGACUGCAGCCCCAGACCACGUGCAUUGUACAGGACUGUAGCCCAAAACUAAGGAGUCCUCCAAAAACGUGAUGGAGAUUGGGACUCUGAGGGAUGCACAACGAAUUUGGCUGUAUAAAUCCUCUGGGUUUGCUGAAAGACCUGUGUUCAGCACUUGAAGCCAGAAGAAGAAGCUGUUGCAUUUUUGGGUCUUUCUGAGUUCUUGAGGCCCCCUGAGCGAACUUCUUCUAUUCCUGAAAGUGAAAUGAGGCAAUGGUUCAGUCAUUCACUUUUUGUGUUAAAAGCUCUGGAAGUGAAUCAUGAAAGGUUUCUCAAGCACAUUGAGAAGCUGCAGGUAUUAAGUGUAACAGGUAACCACAGCUGCGGAUGCUCUGCAGCCGCUGCAUUGCCACAGUUUGUUUAGUAUGCUCAUUGUCCUUCUGUUCUUCUGUGGGCAUGAGACAGCCCCACAAGCCGUGGUGGUAGGACUUGUUGGUCUCUGCCGGGAGCAGGCUCUGGUCCAUGCUGGUCUCUGGGUUGUACCAGAGCACCAGCUGGGAGGGGGCUGGCAGGGGCUGUAUCCAUGCUGCGAGCAUGCUGAUGGUUAAACACUGCAGGUGGCUGCAGGACAGUUCUUGAAGUUGUUUCAUCCCCUGUGUACAUGGAGAUAUACCUCCCAUAUGUCUGGCAUUGGCUCAGUACCAAAUCUUGUCUUUAAACCUGUGAAAGUGUCUUCCUGAGGAACAACUCAGGUGUAACCACAUGAUAUCGGACUUGACUUGAGACCUCCCGGCUGCAAUUUUUGUUCUAAGUCAUGCUGGAAAUCAGAGCAGAUGAUGAACAUCUUGUGUCAAAAUGUAUCAGUUCACAAUGAAGAACCUCCAAAACCAGAAGUGGUUCGUGAUGAUGAUUCCAAAGCUGUCACAGUUAACCUUUCAGCAACCCCUUGAUAGAUCCGCAGCUGCAAGCCACUUCUGAGGAGCACUGGAUCUUGAAUGCAGUCUCAUGUCUCUCAGGGAGCUGCACCUGGAGGAAGUCUCUUUCUACUAUAUGUGUCUUAUGGCUUUGCUUGGGAGGUUGUGUUGGAGAACCCUGCAGCCUCAGCAGUUCUUCCCAGCCUUCCGGCCAUGCCCAUCAGUAUUUGACACAUUACAAGUCACGAGGCUUGGGGAUCAGUGUUGGAGAUCGUGUUGCUCAGGAUAGCUGGCCUCUUCCACCAGCAUCGGCAGUGCUCUGCACCACGGGCUACAGCCACAACACUCGAGACAAGAGCUCUGGUGGUCGCUACCAGAAGCAGCUUUGGCACAGAAGAAAAAGGUGGGGUAUUUCCAUCCAAAACAAUGAAAAAGACAAAAAAUUAAACAGGGAGAGAGGACAAAAAGGAAUCUGAAAGUCAAACUGCCUGGAAUGAGUUUCUUUAUAAUUACAAGUGUCCUAAUGCCAGGGCUGGUAUUAUGGGAGCACCUGGUGCCUUGGUCUGCUUUUCUCCAAAAUCGGUGAUUUACUGGGGAGGGAAAGCAGCUUCUAGUGCCCUCUGUUGAGGUUCUGUUUGGGGGUUGAGGGCAUUUAGGGUGUUUCAGACAGAAAUUACCACACUGCUGCUAUCACCUACUGACCACUAACUCAUUCUUCCUAAUGCUGACUCAGCCAUCAAUUCCUCGCAAAGAGAACCAGAUUUUUCUUUUUUAAAAGAUCCUUGCUGAAUUCAGGUGGAGCUGCCAGACAUCCCCAGAUUAAUUUCUCUUUCUUCCUCUUUUGCUUCACCCAGUUUCUCUUGCUAAACAGUGUCAGCUGUGACAAUUGCCACUGUGCUGCGGUGGUGGCUCAGGGAUGCUGUUCCAGGAGCCAGGCUGCUGGUGGUUUGCCAGCAGCUUUUGAAGAUGUCGGGGAAGUCACCAUGUGAACAUGUGUGGUGGUGCUCCAUGGGGUGUGCCCCUUGCAGCCUCUUUGUUUUGUCAUUUUUAGGGACACUAUUGGAAAUGACAUUCAUUGUAACAUGCUCAUCCUGCUGGAUUUAAUUAGAAACACUCAGCUUUAAUUAAGUCUUUGUUUUGCAGUCUUGGUAGUUCUAUUUUGAUAAGAUUCUGUCAUGUAAAUCAUAAAUGAAGCUGAAGAAGUAGAUUACUGCAUGUCAUAGCUCCUGAGUAAUGAAUAAAGACAAUAUAAUGUGUGAUACAGUUGCUGAGGGUGGGAGGCAGCCCUGUGCUUUGCAUUAAGUAUUUACCUCGUUCUUUCCAGGAUUUACUGGUACUAUUAGUUCUCUGUAUCCUCAGAUUCAUUCUUUGCUUUCCAGCAUCCUCCUGCCAUGACUUCUUCAGGUGCUGACAGGGAUGCAGUGGGGACAGGGGCUGAAGGGCAAUGCAGGUUGCACGGUGUCACCAGCUCCUCUGUCCUUCCACCCAGAGCACAGCUGGCAUGGGAGGAGGGGGGAGAAAAUAGAGCUCCACCCAAAACCUGUAGGCCUCUUCUUUUUCUCUUUUUUUUCCUCAGUAAACCUGCAUUUUUUUCUCUUCCCUUUCACGCACAGUUUGUGUGCUUAUGUUUUAACUGUGGGACUUGGACACACAUGGCUCACUCCGUGUAUAAAAAAAGGCUGCAUAUUCUGUAGCUCCUGGCUCUGUUAAUGGUUUUCUGUACUUACCUCAUUAUCAUUGCUUGAGGUCUAACUUGAAGUUUAGCAGAGAUGCGAGUUCCAAUUAUAAUUAGCACAUACGGAACAGACCUAACUGAGAGUUUUCCUGUAAAGUCACACUAAUGCAUGAACUCUUGCUGCUUGGUUUGCAGAUGAAAGCACACUCAGAAGUGUCCCAAGCCUCUGGAUCAAGACAGAUUUUUGUAUUCUCAAAACAAGCCAAAGCUAAGACUAACGAAGAAUGCUUAGGCUUGACCUGGAGGGCUGGGGUGCUGCUGUUGGAGCCUGACAGCAGACAUGGAGUGCCUGCUAACAGACCAGUCCUGCAUGCGGUCUACAUGGCACCUCUCUGUAGUCACCAUUGCUUGCAGCACUGACCUUUAGCCAGAGAGGAUUUUUCACACUGAGAAGCAUAAACACUCAUUUUCUAUUUUUUUUUUCUUUUUAGAGGCUUUUGUAAUGAAUGGAGAAAGAAACUGCAGGAACAUAAAUCAGCUCCAGACUGAUGGAAGAAUGUGCAGUUUCUACCUGUGUAGGGCUCAGAACCCAGGCCACUCCAUGACCACAUUCUCUCUUUCCCUUGAAUAGGGUAUCAUCAAGAUUAGUGACCAUUUAUUGUUAGCCUGGUGUCCUCCCCUCCUGAAAAUUCAGUCCUAAAAGGAGGUAAAAUGAUAACGAAGGAAGACAAAUCCCCACUCAAACAGAUUUUGCAGCCAGACUAAUUGUGAGCAGAGGAAGCAACUUUGUGCAGACCUUCUGAACCUGUGGAGGUUGCUUUCCUGGGAAGGCAGAGCAUAUUGAGCACCCAGAGCAAGACAUUCUCCCCAGUUCAGUGCCCCGCAGGUACAGCUUGUCCUUCUCUUGGAAGUCCCUCAGUCUCUGGAUGGGUUGACAAGCAGAACAUGAUUUGCCUGCUCUGCUCUCUCUUUUCUGUGCUAUGACCCUCUCCCCAAACCUCCCUACUUUCCUACUCUCACCCUGUCCUUGAGCCUCUUCAUUUUGCUUUCAGAAGCUUUUCUGCUUUCCUUCUGUUCCCUCUCUUCUUCCAGCUUGAUGUUCCCAAGGUGAUCUACCUUCAGUAGCUGCUGAGCUCCAGGACCUGCUGUUGUCCAUGACAGAGACAUCACAUACAACCCGCAAACAGGCUCUUCCCAGCCCACUAUGUUCCAUGGUGAAGCCUUUCUCUGCUGGAACGCGAAACAACUCUGUAGCGGGCCGAGGGGAAUGAAGGAAGGAUUUUGGCAUAGCCAUGGGCAGGACGACAUCCUUCUUCACAGCAAAUGUGACACUGCAAACCUCCCUGAUGGAUGUCGUGAAGCUUUAUGAGGAUGCAUCUUGAUGUGCUCCUGAGGGUUGCAAGUAGCAGGUGACACACAAGAGGAGACCUUUGCUGCAAGGCAGAUCAGACCCCUGCUGUUAAGUAAGAGCAAUGAAACUGCUAGGGGACCUGUUGGGGGGCUGUUGCACAGCUAAAGCAUGUGCCACCUGAAGUGGGUGGAACAGUCAUCCUUGGCCACCCCUUUCCACUGAUUUGGGGGAUGAGGACUUGGGCAGCACUCUUAGGAGGUGCAUGGGCUGUGUGGCACUGUGGUCCCAGGAUCUAACGCCCUCAAGUUAAUAAUGAAGGCUAAUAAGACCUUUCUAAAUAAUACUUGUUUUCUGGAGCUGGCAAAUGAUCUGGAAAAAACCCAAGCCUUAUAUAACUCCAUCUGGGUAGGUGAAACUUUUCUCCCAACUCCAGCCUAAUGCAAAUUACUUGCAAUUUACUUUCCUCUUGGUUUGACAAAUAGCUGUUAUUAAAAGCAGACCUUAACUGCAAAGAAGUGCCCUUUGCAGCAUCGUACGUGCCUUCCCGUGCUGCAGAAGCCAGAAGGUGAUUUCACCAGCACUUUGUGGGGUUCUGGGGUGCUGGUUGCAUUAACCCGCCUCUGCCUCCCUGUGACGGCUCCUUCGGUGUGUCUGUGUUACACGCUUUCCAUAGCAGUUCUGCCCACACACCUCAGAUUCACUUUCCCAGCAUUGUAGCAGUGAUUAUGUGAAGUUCUGUGCUGGCAGCCCCCCUCGGGUAGCAGUAGGAUUACAUAAAGGUGGGUGACAGAGAGAAGUCUUAAUCACUACAGGAAAAAAACAUUUAACUGUUACCUGCCUCACGACGAGGAGCAGCACUUUUAAAGCCCUUGUGACAUUUACAUGCUUCCAGCUCAGAAUCUUAUUUUAAAUCUCCUGUCAUCACACAUGAGCCUUGAUAUUCGGUACAGGAAUUAAAAAUACUUACAUAUCGGCUUUCAGCUAAAGAACAUGCAGAGUGUUAUUGGUCUUUUGUGUUCAAGUUUUGGCUCCUAGACUCAGUUCCUGUUCUUUCUGGAUGUCCCGGGUGAACAAAGAAGUCUUAUUCUCCUUUCAUAUACACACAGAUAUGCGCAUAGAUAUACACAUAGAUACACACAGAAAGCGAGAGGCAGCUUGCAGAAGUGAACUAACAUGCUGCCUAUUUAUGAAUAACCAUUUCUCAAAGGCAUUCUGGAAUAGCUCCCUCUGUUAACUUUUGAUGCAAGAUAGUUUUUAUACUAGUGGAUUAUAACAGAGUAACUAAAAUACAGCAAGGCAGUCUUUCCCCUCAUCACAAGACUUAAAUAUGCUUCCUUUCUAUUCCCAGUGUGAUUUAUUAUCUGCCUAAAUGUAUAGCCCCUCCAAGGCAGACACCUCAUCUUCUUUUGUAUCUUGAACACACAGCAGAUGUUUAGGAAGUAACAAACUAAUGGUGUAACAGUAAUAGCUAGAAUAUAAAGAUAUGUGCCUGUAAUAAAAGUUGUGGUAGCAAUACUGGAUUUUUGUGGUUUACAGUUCCAACUUUGACUUCCAGAAAGUGACAUAUAUAUGUGCUCUGGGAAUGUGAUAAUAAUCUUAGUACGGCAAAGUAGUUUUCCAGUUUGAAGUAUAAUAUAAAACAAAUUAAUUUCAGUUCUUAGAUUAAGCAUCUCCACUUCCCUAGAUGGUAACCACUCAAAGCUACUACAAUAAAAUUUAAUGACUGCUGUACUGUGUCUGAGGUUUUUUUUUUCUUUAGCCCAUAUGUAUUUGGUUGCUAGAAAAGAUGGAGUGGAACUUGGAAAACUAAAUCCAGUACUGUUAAUUAAAGGUCAUUCCAUACGAAACUAGCUCCUAAUGUUGACCAUUCUCUGCACUUACAAAUUAAUUAUGACUGUAAUGAUUAAGAAAAUAAAAAAGCCUUUAUUG
Molecule: long non-coding RNA, 6602 nt
Organism: Columba livia (rock pigeon)
Lineage: Eukaryota; Metazoa; Chordata; Aves; Columbiformes; Columbidae
Exons: 3
Source: RefSeq, a predicted model, not a curated record